This 301-nucleotide ribosomal RNA is filed under the name uncultured bacterium. Its description in RNAcentral is "partial 16S ribosomal RNA". It matches the Rfam family "Bacterial small subunit ribosomal RNA", at positions 509 to 807 of the family's 1533-position model. The record is from RNAcentral.
CAGUAGCCACGGGAAUACGAAGGGGGCUAGCGUUGCUCGGAAUGACUGGGCGUAAAGGGCGCGUAGGCGGCUUGUACAGUCAGAUGUGAAAUUCCUGGGCUUAACCUGGGGGCUGCAUUUGAUACGUGCGGGCUAGAAUGUGAAAGAGGGUUGUGGAAUUCCCAGUGUAGAGGUGAAAUUCGUAGAUAUUCGGAAGAACACCAGUGGCGAAGGCGACUCACUGGCCCAUUACUGACGCUGAGGCGCGAAAGCGUGGGGAGCAAACAGGAUUAGAUACCCGGGUAGUCCCUGUCUCUUAUAC